Syzygium oleosum is the source of this 210-nucleotide long non-coding RNA. RefSeq lists it as uncharacterized. NCBI's taxonomy places the organism in Eukaryota, Viridiplantae, Streptophyta, Magnoliopsida, Myrtales, Myrtaceae. The record is from RefSeq and is a predicted model, not a curated record. The transcript is spliced from 2 exons.
CUGAAAAAUAACCUUCUUGCUGUUCAUGGUUAUGUCUCGACUCGCUUUUACUACCCUUUCGCGUUUCUCAUUCUACAGAUGCAAAUCGGGGUCGUGUCAGACAAACGUUUGAACAGAAAUGAGAGAACCCAAUAGUUAGGGAAAGGCCGCGAUCACAGAGCCAAAUGACUUCCAUAUAUACGCGAUUCGAAGGAGCACGUAUCAUGCCCA